Salmo salar (Atlantic salmon) is the source of this 54-nucleotide non-coding RNA. The record is from Rfam. Lineage: Eukaryota; Metazoa; Chordata; Actinopteri; Salmoniformes; Salmonidae.
UGCACACAUGACUGUAAGUCGCUUUGGACAACAGCGUCUGCUAAAUGGCAUUUU